This 112-nucleotide non-coding RNA is filed under the name bovine gut metagenome. Its description in RNAcentral is "FMN riboswitch (RFN element)". It matches the Rfam family "FMN riboswitch aptamer (RFN element)". Rfam says of the family: The RFN element is a highly conserved domain that is found frequently in the 5'-untranslated regions of prokaryotic mRNAs that encode for flavin mononucleotide (FMN) biosynthesis and transport proteins. The record is from RNAcentral.
CGUCUUCAGGGCAGGGUGUAAUUCCCGACCGGCGGUACAGUCCGCGAGCUGAGAGAUCAGCAUGAACCGGUGCGAUUCCGGUACCGACAGUAGAGUCUGGAUGGAAGAAGGC